Molecule: ribosomal RNA, 1372 nt
Filed under: uncultured bacterium
Lineage: Bacteria
Description: bacterial SSU rRNA
Rfam family: Bacterial small subunit ribosomal RNA
Source: RNAcentral
GAUGAACGCUGGCGGCGUGCCUAAUACAUGCAAGUCGAGCGAACGGACGAGAAGCUUGCUUCUCUGAUGUUAGCGGCGGACGGGUGAGUAACACGUGGAUAACCUACCUAUAAGACUGGGAUAACUUCGGGAAACCGGAGCUAAUACCGGAUAAUAUUUUGAACCGCAUGGUUCAAAAGUGAAAGACGGUCUUGCUGUCACUUAUAGAUGGAUCCGCGCUGCAUUAGCUAGUUGGUAAGGUAACGGCUUACCAAGGCAACGAUGCAUAGCCGACCUGAGAGGGUGAUCGGCCACACUGGAACUGAGACACGGUCCAGACUCCUACGGGAGGCAGCAGUAGGGAAUCUUCCGCAAUGGGCGAAAGCCUGACGGAGCAACGCCGCGUGAGUGAUGAAGGUCUUCGGAUCGUAAAACUCUGUUAUUAGGGAAGAACAUAUGUGUAAGUAACUGUGCACAUCUUGACGGUACCUAAUCAGAAAGCCACGGCUAACUACGUGCCAGCAGCCGCGGUAAUACGUAGGUGGCAAGCGUUAUCCGGAAUUAUUGGGCGUAAAGCGCGCGUAGGCGGUUUUUUAAGUCUGAUGUGAAAGCCCACGGCUCAACCGUGGAGGGUCAUUGGAAACUGGAAAACUUGAGUGCAGAAGAGGAAAGUGGAAUUCCAUGUGUAGCGGUGAAAUGCGCAGAGAUAUGGAGGAACACCAGUGGCGAAGGCGACUUUCUGGUCUGUAACUGACGCUGAUGUGCGAAAGCGUGGGGAUCAAACAGGAUUAGAUACCCUGGUAGUCCGCGCCGUAAACGAUGAGUGCUAAGUGUUAGGGGGUUUCCGCCCCUUAGUGCUGCAGCUAACGCAUUAAGCACUCCGCCUGGGGAGUACGACCGCAAGGUUGAAACUCAAAGGAAUUGACGGGGACCCGCACAAGCGGUGGAGCAUGUGGUUUAAUUCGAAGCAACGCGAAGAACCUUACCAAAUCUUGACAUCCUUUGACAACUCUAGAGAUAGAACCUUCCCCUUCGGGGGACAAAGUGACAGGUGGUGCAUGGUUGUCGUCAGCUCGUGUCGUGAGAUGUUGGGUUAAGUCCCGCAACGAGCGCAACCCUUAAGCUUAGUUGCCAUCAUUAAGUUGGGCACUCUAAGUUGACUGCCGGUGACAAACCGGAGGAAGGUGGGGAUGACGUCAAAUCAUCGUGCCCCUUAUGAUUUGGGCUACACACGUGCUACAAUGGACAAUACAAAGGGCAGCGAAACCGCGAGGUCAAGCAAAUCCCAUAAAGUUGUUCUCAGUUCGGAUUGUAGUCUGCAACUCGACUACAUGAAGCUGGAAUCGCUAGUAAUCGUAGAUCAGCAUGCUACGGUGAAUACGUUCCCGGGUCU